AAUGCUGCGUUAUGCCGUGGGGUGC
Molecule: non-coding RNA, 25 nt
Filed under: Mus musculus (house mouse)
Lineage: Eukaryota; Metazoa; Chordata; Mammalia; Rodentia; Muridae
Source: RNAcentral